This 374-nucleotide small RNA is filed under the name Pongo abelii (Sumatran orangutan). Its description in RNAcentral is "processed transcript". The record is from RNAcentral. Lineage: Eukaryota; Metazoa; Chordata; Mammalia; Primates; Hominidae.
AGCAUUGCCGAAUGUGAUGCCUUUAAAUGAAGAUGUUAAUAAGCAGGAAGAAAAGAAUGAAGAUCAUACUCACAAUUAUGCUCCUGCUAAUGAGAAAAAUGGCAAUUAUUAUAAAGAUAUAAAACAAUUGCAUGUUUUAAGAAAAAAGAGGAAGAAAAAGGUAAAGGAAAAAAAGUGACUUAGUUGCUGAAGACUUUUGCUUUUGUUUUUAGAUGUGUUCACAACACAAAAUCCAAAUGGCACUGAGUCUGAAAUAUCUGUGAGAGCCACAACUGACCUGAAUUUUGCUCUAAAAAACUAUAAAAUUGUCAAUGCAACUACGUAUGAAAAAUCCACCAGUGAAGAAGAAACAACUACUAACGAACCCUCUCAUA